RNAcentral lists this ribosomal RNA (249 nucleotides) under uncultured bacterium. RNAcentral's name for it is "partial 16S ribosomal RNA". It matches the Rfam family "Bacterial small subunit ribosomal RNA", at positions 504 to 752 of the family's 1533-position model. The record is from RNAcentral.
UGUCCCAGCCGCCGCGGUAAUACGUAGGGUGCGAGCGUUAAUCGGAAUUACUGGGCGUAAAGCGUGCGCAGGCGGCUUUGUAAGACAGGCGUGAAAUCCCCGGGCUCAACCUGGGAAUGGCGCUUGUGACUGCAAGGCUGGAGUGCGGCAGAGGGGGAUGGAAUUCCGCGUGUAGCAGUGAAAUGCGUAGAUAUGCGGAGGAACACCGAUGGCGAAGGCACUCCCCUGCGCCUGCACUGACGCUCAUGC